Molecule: ribosomal RNA, 492 nt
Filed under: uncultured bacterium
Lineage: Bacteria
Description: partial 16S ribosomal RNA
Rfam family: Bacterial small subunit ribosomal RNA
Source: RNAcentral
AGUGAACGCUGGCGGUAGGCCUAACACAUGCAAGUCGAACGGCAGCACAGUAAGAGCUUGCUCUUACGGGUGGCGAGUGGCGGACGGGUGAGGAAUACAUCGGAAUCUACUUGUUCUUGGGGGAUAACGUGGGGAAACUUACGCUAAUACCGCAUACGACCUACGGGUGAAAGCAGGGGAUCUUCGGACCUUGCGCGAUUGAAUGAGCCGAUGUCGGAUUAGCUAGUUGGCGGGGUAAAGGCCCACCAAGGCGACGAUCCGUAGCUGGUCUGAGAGGAUGAUCAGCCACACUGGAACUGAGACACGGUCCAGACUCCUACGGGAGGCAGCAGUGGGGAAUAUUGGACAAUGGGCGCAAGCCUGAUCCAGCCAUACCGCGUGGGUGAAGAAGGCCUUCGGGUUGUAAAGCCCUUUUGUUGGGAAAGAAAAGCAGCAGGUUAAUACCCCGCUGUUCUGACGGUACCCAAAGAAUAAGCACCGGCUAACUUCGUG